AAAACAAAGUGGAUUUUCCAGGUGCUGAUUGUUUCAGAUUAGCCAUAUGUUUUGGCUUCAUUUAGAAUAGAUUUUAAGUAAGCGUGAGCACAAGAAAAAGUAGAUUUGAAACAAGAAAUGGUGAACCCUUUGGAGGAUGGGAAUUGACUAAGCUUAGCAGAAUUCUUAAUGUUACAACAUUCUAGUUCACAAAGCUUUGUUUGUAGUUUGCUGUGUUGCAGGAAAAACGGGCACACAUCCCUGAAUAUAAUUUCCACUGAAAGUAAGGGAGAGAAUACAAAAUUUUCUUAGCCACUUAUCACAUUUUAGCCAUUUUUUUACACUCUCAGUAUGAGAGAAUUUCAUGUACAGACGAAAACGUCCCACAUCAGCUUGUGUUAUUAAGCACCAAUUGAGAGGCCAGCAGAAGAUAACAGUGUUUUCUAAUGGAAUCACUGAGGUGGUGGCAUACUGAUAAAUUUUGUAUUCAGGAAGGACGCAUCCCACGCUUUGCACAAGCACGUUGGUAACUAAAAAGGCCAAUUCAGGAUAAACAGGUCCGGUUGCAGAAAGCCCAUCAGAAAGUCUCCUUGGGUGAUGUUUCCAGGUUGC
Long non-coding RNA from Sceloporus undulatus (fence lizard), 591 nucleotides. RefSeq lists it as uncharacterized. The transcript has 3 exons. The record is from RefSeq and is a predicted model, not a curated record. Lineage: Eukaryota; Metazoa; Chordata; Lepidosauria; Squamata; Phrynosomatidae.